This 75-nucleotide transfer RNA is filed under the name Flavobacteriales bacterium. Its description in RNAcentral is "tRNA-Pro". It matches the Rfam family "tRNA". From Rfam's summary of the family: Transfer RNA (tRNA) molecules are approximately 80 nucleotides in length. Their secondary structure includes four short double-helical elements and three loops (D, anti-codon, and T loops). Further hydrogen bonds mediate the characteristic L-shaped molecular structure. tRNAs have two regions of fundamental functional importance: the anti-codon, which is responsible for specific mRNA codon recognition, and the 3' end, to which the tRNAs corresponding amino acid is attached (by aminoacyl-tRNA synthetases). tRNAs cope with the degeneracy of the genetic code in two manners: having more than one tRNA (with a specific anti-codon) for a particular amino acid; and 'wobble' base-pairing, i.e. permitting non-standard base-pairing at the 3rd anti-codon position. The record is from RNAcentral. Lineage: Bacteria; Pseudomonadati; Bacteroidota; Flavobacteriia; Flavobacteriales.
CGGGGCGUAGCUUAGUCCGGUUAAAGCGCACGUCUGGGGGGCGUGAGAGCGGUGGUUCGAAUCCACUCGCCCCGA